GACGAACGCUGGCGGCGUGCUUAACACAUGCAAGUCGAACGAUGAAGCCUAGCUUGCUAGGUGGAUUAGUGGCGAACGGGUGAGUAAUACGUGAGUAACCUACCUUUAACUCUGGGAUAAGCCUGGGAAACUGGGUCUAAUACCGGAUACGACCAAUCUCCGCAUGGGGUGUUGGUGGAAAGCGUUAUGUAGUGGUUAUAGAUGGGCUCACGGCCUAUCAGCUUGUUGGUGAGGUAACGGCUCACCAAGGCGACGACGGGUAGCCGGCCUGAGAGGGUGACCGGCCACACUGGGACUGAGACACGGCCCAGACUCCUACGGGAGGCAGAAGUGGGGAAUAUUGCACAAUGGGCGCAAGCCUGAUGCAGCGACGCCGCGUGAGGGAUGACGGCCUUCGGGUUGUAAACCUCUGUUAGCAGGGAAGAAGAGAAAUUGACGGUACCUGCAGAGAAAGCGCCGGCUAACUACGUG
RNAcentral lists this ribosomal RNA (471 nucleotides) under uncultured bacterium. RNAcentral describes it as "partial 16S ribosomal RNA". It matches the Rfam family "Bacterial small subunit ribosomal RNA", at positions 28 to 507 of the family's 1533-position model. The record is from RNAcentral.